Molecule: ribosomal RNA, 379 nt
Filed under: uncultured eukaryote
Lineage: Eukaryota
Description: partial 18S ribosomal RNA
Rfam family: Eukaryotic small subunit ribosomal RNA
Source: RNAcentral
CAAUAGCGUAUAUUAAAGUUGUUGCAGUUAAAAAGCUCGUAGUCGAACUUCGGGCCUGGCCGGGCGGUCUGCCUAACGGUAUGUACUGUCUGGCCGGGCCUUACCUCUUGGUGAGCCGGCAUGCCCUUCACUGGGUGUGUCGGUGAACCAGGACUUUUACCUUGAGAAAAUUAGAGUGUUCAAAGCAGGCCUAUGCCCGAAUACAUUAGCAUGGAAUAAUAAAAUAGGACGUGUGGUUCUAUUUUGUUGGUUUCUAGAGUCACCGUAAUGAUUAAUAGGGAUAGUUGGGGGCAUUAGUAUUCAGUUGCUAGAGGUGAAAUUCUUGGAUUUACUGAAGACUAACUUCUGCGAAAGCAUUUGCCAAGGAUGUUUNCAUUGA